GUUACACUUGCCCACACACAAAAUUGCAUCCAACAAAACUGUCAUUAGUUAGUAUGUUUUACAUGUGUUUUUCCAUUGGAUUUAAUUUUGUAUUAAAGAAAGAAUUGUGAAAAUAUUAAUGGUGUAAUUAAUAUGCACCCGAACUACAUUUGUCACUCAGUGUAGCGAUAAUUCAAAAUAUCAUUGUCGCCAGAUCUGGAGAAAUUGCCACUGCGUCUUUAGACUGUCUUCGUCAGACAUGAGUGGUUGGUGACAUAUAGAUAGCCUUCUGUGCUUAUUUUGCUGCAAUGAUAGAAACAGCAGACAUAUUGUGUGCUGGGAGACUGACAAGUAUGUCAGUAUGCUCUGUGUGAACUUAUCACAUCAUUGCAUCGUGUACUCCUGUAAAGUGAGUAAGGUCUUUGCUUUUGUGGAUUCUAGAAUACUUUAUCCUAUGAACUUCAGAAAUGACAUAGGCAUACAGCCAGGUGGUCCAUCAAUAACACAAAUAAGCUGUCAGAAAUAGUGCAAUGUCUUGAAAGAUUUAAUAACACGGCAUAUGGUCCAACGAAAUCAGGACCUGUUGCAUUUAUCUUCACAAUGCAUAAUGAAGGGAAGAUCACUCAAGCCACUCUUAGACAUUUCUGGAGUAGCCGACUCCAGACUUUCUAAUCGGCUACGCUCCCCAGCAAGGAGAGGCACUAGUAUUAGCAUUUUAAGAUCAGAGUCUGCCUCACAGGCGACCUCACACAUCCCUAAAUAUAAAUGGCAACAAAUUACAAGCAUGUAUGAACAAACUACAUGAAUAAAUGUCAUCUGCACAGUCUCUGAAGAAACCAACUAAAGAUGAACAUUUUAUUUCACGUAAUGUGAUAAAGAUUACUUUGUUUUAGAUUACCGACAUUGUUUCAAAAGCUGUUAUCUGGAAA
Schistocerca cancellata (South American locust) is the source of this 908-nucleotide long non-coding RNA. RefSeq lists it as uncharacterized. The transcript is spliced from 3 exons. Lineage: Eukaryota; Metazoa; Arthropoda; Insecta; Orthoptera; Acrididae. The record is from RefSeq and is a predicted model, not a curated record.